Molecule: long non-coding RNA, 1844 nt
Filed under: Nicotiana benthamiana
Lineage: Eukaryota; Viridiplantae; Streptophyta; Magnoliopsida; Solanales; Solanaceae
Description: long non-coding RNA (NBEN_LNC013424)
Source: RNAcentral
UCGUGCAACUACCUCGAAACUCCCUGAAAUACCUCUGGUCAACCCAACCGGAUCUACUCAACCUGGGAGGAACCUGGAUCUGCAUGCAAGGUGCACGGAUUAAAGUGAGUACUCCAACUCAGUGAGUAAUAAAUAUAAAUAUAGACUGAAAGUAAGAAAUCACAUAAAUACACAAACUAAGCUAAAACCCAAUGAUACAAUAAUAAGGGAAAAUUAAUAAUAGAACAAUAGUUAAUGAAACAAAUGCAUGAAUGCAAUGCAAUGCAUAUGAUGGUACAUUCCAGUACCCACUACGGCAUGCAGCCCGAGCCAUCCAUAUUUUUUUAUCAUUGACAACGCUCACUAGGGGUGUGUACAGACUCUGGAGGGGCUCCUACAGCAUAACAAGCCAUCUCGUGGCAUCAAAUCUAGGCCCUCGGCCUUAUAUCAAUAUCAGUGUAAUCGACCAGGCUCUCGGCCUCAAUAUCAAUAAAACCAACAAGGCUCCUGGCCUCAAUAUCAAUGUAACACUGCAGCAGCAAGCAGCCCGAUCCCAACUCAGUCCAGAAAACAUCAUAAGCCCCUUGGGCAUUUAUAAAAUAGUAGUUACCAGCCCGAAAUAUCAUUUAAGAGGUCAUUUGAAUUUUCAAAACUUAAAAGUACGAUUGAGUUUGCAAAAUAGUGUUUAAAACCUUGGGCUGAGACCAAAUGAUAUGCAGAAUAAGCUAAAACAGUAAUAUCAAUCCCCGAUGGAUUCCACAGGUUGGCACAAGGCCCCAAAAAUGGCAACAAGCCUAAUUAACAUCAAUAAAGUAUGUGUCUCAAUCACCAAUAUAGUAUAGAUAUCACUCGGGAUGGACCAAGUCGUGAUCCCCAAUAGUGAACGACCCCGCACUCGUCAUAGAAUGCGUAUCACACCUAAAUAUAGCGUUAUGAUGUGAAAGUUUGGGGUUUCAAACCCUCAGAACAACAUUUACAUCUUUUACUUACCUCUAGCCAGCCAAAGACUAGCUUGCAAUGCCGUUUCCUCUGGAAUCGACCUCCUCACGCAUUGAAUCUAGCCAAAACCACAACGAAUACGUUACAAUAGGCUAUGGGAAUAUAACCCAAUCGGAAAGACUCAAAAAAUAUUGAAAUUCACGAAAUUUGCAAAACCCGAGCCCCGGGCCCACUUCUUGAAGGUCAAAAUCUUUAUACCAAAAUGUUCCUUAUCUCGCCACGAGUCCAUACAUAUCAAAUUCACAAGAAUCGGAGUCCAUUUGACCCUUUAAACCCCUAGUUUAAACUCUCUUAUGUUUCAAGCCCUAUCCUUCAUUUUUUAACCUUUAAUUCCUUGGAUUUUCAGUGUUAAUACAUUGAUUUUUCACCAUAAUAACAUAUUCUAAGUCCAAGAAUCCAUACCUAAUGAAAGCCCUCGAAACCCUCUUCAAAAUUGCCCAAACCCCUCUUAGUCUGAAGUGGAAAUGUUGUGUUCUUUCGAAAAUUCGCAAAGGUCAAAUUAAAUGCUUCUGCCUAGUCCUUUUUGCUUCUGUGACCAAAAUACCGCUUCUGCGAUUUUCCUUAUAUCACCCCAGAUCGCUUCUGCAGUCCAGAACAACUUCUGCAGUGACCACUUAUGUAGACUCAUGUCCGCUUCUGUGGAAAAUUUCCCAAGCUUAGAAACCAUAAUUGCUACCUCCAGCUGCAAUGUGCAGCAGUUAGGAAAUCAAAAAAGUGAUUCUAAUUCAAAUGACAAAUCUGCAUAAACUCUUCCAAAGCCAAAGGGUGAUCCUGCUCAGUUUAGUGAAAUGCAUAACAUUGUUCCAUUAAAGAUUGUAAAAGAGAAUUUGGUAUCAAAUGUUAAUACUGCUGGGACAAGAUUGAAG